UACGGAGGAUGCGAGCGUUAUCCGGAUUUAUUGGGUUUAAAGGGUGCGCAGGCGGACUGUCAAGUCAGCGGUAAAAUGUCGGGGCUCAACCCCGGCCGGCCGUUGAAACUGGCGGUCUGGAGUUGAAGAGAAGUAUGCGGAAUGCGUGGUGUAGCGGUGAAAUGCAUAGAUAUCACGCAGAACUCCGAUUGCGAAGGCAGCAUACCGGCUUCAUACUGACGCUCAUGCACGAAAGCGUGGGGAUCGAACAGG
RNAcentral lists this ribosomal RNA (252 nucleotides) under uncultured bacterium. RNAcentral's name for it is "partial 16S ribosomal RNA". It matches the Rfam family "Bacterial small subunit ribosomal RNA", at positions 524 to 776 of the family's 1533-position model. The record is from RNAcentral.